GAGAGAGAGAGAGAGAGAGAGUAUAGAGUAAGUAGCAAAUAGAUAGCAUUCAUAAAUGAAGGAGCUCAGAAUUCCUCAAGCUCAGCAAAAUAAUUAGAAACAAAUCAUGUAACCCACCCCCCACUAUCAUCUUUUGUGUUCAUACUUGACAUUUUUAUAUAGAUACAAACAAGAACAUAAAGAACAAGCCAAAGGAAAGUGAUGCCCUCCAAUCAAGUAAAAUAACACUUGAAGAAACUUCCCUAAAAGCUCUGUAAGCGCAAACCCAUAUGGAAGCCCAACAAAAAAGAAAAGGCACCAAAUCCCACAACAAAUUGAAAUAAAGAUGGGUGCAGUUUUCUAUUGAACAUGCAAAACAAACACAAAUAAGAAUAACACUCGCAUAAAAAGUUAAAAACACAAGAAACUUAACGUGUUUCAGCAAUGUGGCCAUGUCUGCAGAAAGCCAUCAAUGUUUUUCCACUAUGAAAGAUAAAUGUAUAAGUAGGGAUAGAGAAAGUUGAUAUUACAGAAAUAUCCCCAUAAUUAGAACCACCCUAGGCUAACUAAGUUGUACCAAUGGACCUGACUACAAAAUUGGAUAUUCUUCACCGUGGUGUGGGAUAUGCUAGAAAGGCCACAGCCUCCUCUGUAAAACCCUCCACCGAAUCUGCCUUGAGCUUUUAGCUUGCAGUAUUUCCUUUGAAAAAUAUGAGAUGAACUUAACAUUUUCUCCAUAAAAGAUUCAAUUAAAAAAAGAAAAAGCACACAAAUCCACCAACUUUGACAUCUUUCCCACCACCAAAUCCUGCACAUUCUAAACUAAUUGAAAUCUCUAAGCUUGUUUAAUUGGUUUUCCAGUGAUAAAAUCCCACAAAUACAACUCUUGAAUUGCAUGAUGCAAUUCUAAACUUAAUUUAACCUUAGUGGGAGGCUUUCUCGAUUGGACUAGUGUGAGGCAACUAGUUUUAUUGUGUUGGCUUUGUUUUCCUAUGCAGUUAUGAAGGUAAUCAGAUCUGCUUGUUAAUUUCGAACCCUAGUUUCUUUAAUUGCAUGAAAACCUAGCCCUGAUUUCCAAACAAACAGGAUUCUCAAAUGGCAUCCAACACCAAUUUUUGUUCUCAGAGCUCCUAAUUUUGCAAUUAUUUUCACAAUAUGGAAAUUUUUUAAGAAGCAUUGAAACACUUCAUAAAGAGAUAUUUUAUCAAAGAACAAAGUGAUUUCAAUGAGCUUUAUGCUAUGGGACAAGCUUAAUCAAUUUGUAAUUGAUUACACUAGAAAUUAUAUAGAGCUUACAAGUGUUUUGUUAAAGAAGAUAGAAAGCUCACUAUUUCUCAAUUCAAAGUAGGUUGAGACCAGAAAUUCAAAAUCAAUGGUCAAAUGCAAGACUACAUGCCCUUGAAGAUGCAACAGAACAAGCUAUUGUUCUUGAGAAAUGUUUGAGAUUCAUGGGCCAUCUCCUAAAUUCUAGACUAUAAUUGCAAAAAGAAAGAAGCAAUGCAAUCAGUAGAGGGAGAAAAAAAA
This 1503-nucleotide unclassified non-coding RNA is filed under the name Hevea brasiliensis (rubber tree). The record is from RNAcentral. Lineage: Eukaryota; Viridiplantae; Streptophyta; Magnoliopsida; Malpighiales; Euphorbiaceae.